Leptonychotes weddellii (Weddell seal) is the source of this 790-nucleotide non-coding RNA. Lineage: Eukaryota; Metazoa; Chordata; Mammalia; Carnivora; Phocidae. The record is from RefSeq and is a predicted model, not a curated record.
CAAUAGGAUUGAAGAAAUGGCGGAAAAAGGAUUCCGCCUCUGGAGAUAAACCUUGAUUGGCAAGUCAGAUAACCAAUCAAGAACACCAGUUUGUACCCCUUGGGAGGCACCGAGCUCCGUCGUCUCGUUUCCGGCGGUCGCGCGCUCUUUUCUCGGGACGGUAGAGGCCGUGUAGCGUCGCCGUUACUCUGAGGAGAGAACAGUCGGUAGAGGCACCAACUGAAUGCAGAAAUACGGAUAGUGGUUGCCAGCAGGAACAUGUGCUGUGUACACAAUCUCAUUUAGUCCUUAAAAUAACCAGCCCUGUGAAGUUGCUGUUGUUACCCCCUCCUUACAGAAACAUGAUUUCCCUUUUUUUUAGAGGAAAAAAUGCUGCACCAUGGUACUGAGCUAGUGUUUUCACAUAUUUAUGAAUCCUCAUAGCCAUCUUGAGAGGGUGCAAAAAUGCAGAGCAAUAAAACCUUUAACCUGGAGAAGCAAAACCAUACUCCAAGGAAGCAUCAUCAGCAUCACCACCAGCAGCACCACCAGCAGCAACAGCAGCAGCCACCACCGCCACCAAUACCUGCAAAUGGGCAACAAGCCAGCAGCCAAAAUGAAGGCUUGACUAUUGACCUGAAGAAUUUUAGGAAACCAGGAGAGAAGACCUUCACCCAACGUAGCCGGCUCUUUGUGGGCAAUCUUCCUCCUGACAUCACUGAGGAGGAGAUGAGGAAACUAUUUGAGAAAUAUGGGAAGGCAGGCGAAGUCUUCAUUCAUAAGGAUAAGGGCUUUGGCUUUAUCCGCUUGG